Long non-coding RNA from Pygocentrus nattereri (red-bellied piranha), 147 nucleotides. RefSeq lists it as uncharacterized. NCBI's taxonomy places the organism in Eukaryota, Metazoa, Chordata, Actinopteri, Characiformes, Serrasalmidae. The record is from RefSeq and is a predicted model, not a curated record. The transcript is spliced from 3 exons.
CGGACAGCGGACGACGAGGGACGAACAUGCAGCGACCCAGACGGACGGCUGCGACGGAACGGAGGAACACAAGCUGGCCAUCUUACCUUCAGGCUGUGCCCCCGUGCCACAGGAGGUUUCUGUGCUCAGCUGGCAGCAGGAGGUCUU